UACAGAGGGGGCAAGCGUUAUUCGGAAUUAUUGGGCGUAAAGGGCGCGUAGGCGGCCUGGCAAGUGGAAGGUGAAAUCCCUCGGCUUAACCGAGGAACUGCCCUCCAAACUGCUUGGCUUGAGUCCGGGAGAGGUGAGUGGAAUUCCCAGUGUAGCGGUGAAAUGCGUAGAUAUUGGGAGGAACACCAGUGGCGAAGGCGGCUCACUGGACCGGUUCUGACGCUGAGGCGCGAAAGCGUGGGGAGCAAACGGG
RNAcentral lists this ribosomal RNA (253 nucleotides) under uncultured bacterium. Its description in RNAcentral is "partial 16S ribosomal RNA". It matches the Rfam family "Bacterial small subunit ribosomal RNA", at positions 524 to 776 of the family's 1533-position model. The record is from RNAcentral.